This is a small nucleolar RNA of Beta vulgaris subsp. vulgaris (sugar beet), 128 nucleotides long. The record is from Rfam. NCBI's taxonomy places the organism in Eukaryota, Viridiplantae, Streptophyta, Magnoliopsida, Caryophyllales, Amaranthaceae.
GCGCCUAAUUAAGGCGUUUGCACCAGUGGUGCAGGCGUCUUAAUUAGGCGCCUGACCAGUGGUGCAAGCGCCUAAAUUAGGCGCCUGACCAGUGGUGGGGGCGCCUAAUUAAGGCGCUUGCACCACUA